This 492-nucleotide ribosomal RNA is filed under the name uncultured bacterium. RNAcentral's name for it is "partial 16S ribosomal RNA". It matches the Rfam family "Bacterial small subunit ribosomal RNA", at positions 29 to 507 of the family's 1533-position model. The record is from RNAcentral.
AGUGAACGCUGGCGGUAGGCCUAACACAUGCAAGUCGAACGGCAGCACAGUAAGAGCUUGCUCUUACGGGUGGCGAGUGGCGGACGGGUGAGGAAUACAUCGGAAUCUACUUUUUCGUGGGGGAUAACGUAGGGAAACUUACGCUAAUACCGCAUACGACCUACGGUUGAAAGCAGGGGAUCUUCGGACCUUGCGCGGUUGAAUGAGCCGAUGUCGGAUUAGCUGGUUGGCGGGUGAAAGGCCCACCAAGGCGACGAUCCGUAGCUGGUCUGAGAGGAUGAUCAGCCACCCUGGAACUGAGACACGGUCCAGACUCCUACGGGAGGCAGCAGUGGGGAAUAUUGGACAAUGGGCGCAAGCCUGAUCCAGCCAUACCGCGUGGGUGAAGGAGGCCUUCGGGUUGUAAAGCCCUUUUGUUGGGAAAGAAAAGCAGCAGGUUAAUACCCCGCUGUUCUGACGGUACCCAAAGAAUAAGCACCGGCUAACUUCGUG